AGCCCCGUAAGCGAAAUCCAAAGAAGGCCUAUCAGUAUCCUGAGUAGGGCGGGACACGUGAAAUCCCGUUUGAAUCCGCGAGGACCAUCUCGCAAGGCUAAAUACUAACCAGUGACCGAUAGUGAACCAGUACCGUGAGGGAAAGGUGAAAAGAACCCCGGGAGGGGAGUGAAAGAGAACCUGAAACCGUGUGCCUACAAGUAGUCAGAGCCCGUUAACGGGUAAUGGCGUGCCUUUUGUAGAAUGAACCGGCGAGUUGCGUUAGUCAGCAAGGUUAAGUCAGAAAAGACGGAGCCGUAGCGAAAGCGAGUCUGAAGAGGGCGAGCAGUUGGCUGACGCAGACCCGAAACCAAGUGACCUACCCAUGACCAGGUUGAAGGC
This 381-nucleotide ribosomal RNA is filed under the name Lactobacillus delbrueckii subsp. bulgaricus. RNAcentral describes it as "partial 23S ribosomal RNA". It matches the Rfam family "Bacterial large subunit ribosomal RNA", at positions 369 to 752 of the family's 2925-position model. The record is from RNAcentral. Lineage: Bacteria; Bacillati; Bacillota; Bacilli; Lactobacillales; Lactobacillaceae.